Molecule: long non-coding RNA, 469 nt
Organism: Amphimedon queenslandica
Lineage: Eukaryota; Metazoa; Porifera; Demospongiae; Haplosclerida; Niphatidae
Exons: 3
Source: RefSeq, a predicted model, not a curated record
AUAAGUCCUCCUAUACUGAUACUUUGGUACCAAAUUUACUAGCCUAUUCCUAGCCUCACAUUUGGUCUCACAAUCAAGAGAUUUUGAGGCUAAGGGUAUACUAAACAUUGAAUCAAAGUGUAGUGAUGUUGCUGCUAGAGUUGCUGCCUAUGAUCUCCUCAUUGAGCUCUCAACCGACUGUCUUGCUAACUUGAAGUGUGUAACCAAUAUGUUGAUAGCAAUGCACCACAGCUGGAGACCAAUGAACUCUUCAUGAAGAAUGGGAGUUUUGUCCACUCACUAUUGGCAGAUGUUCCUGUGGUUAUGUUGGUCUUACGAAUGCUUGUCUUAAGAAUGGUCUUAAGAAUGCUUCACUUGUUACAUGAAUACAGUCCUGCAGCAGCUAUACAUGCAGCCAGGGAUAAGAGAGGCUCUACUGGGAGUGGAGAGAGAUGAAGAGGACUCAAGGUAUAGUAAUGUAAUAUUUAUG